CGGUAUAGUUCAGUUGGCAGAACACUUGCUUUGUAAUCAAGAUGUCGGGAGUUCAAAUCUCUCUAUCGG
RNAcentral lists this transfer RNA (69 nucleotides) under human gut metagenome. It matches the Rfam family "tRNA". Rfam says of the family: Transfer RNA (tRNA) molecules are approximately 80 nucleotides in length. Their secondary structure includes four short double-helical elements and three loops (D, anti-codon, and T loops). Further hydrogen bonds mediate the characteristic L-shaped molecular structure. tRNAs have two regions of fundamental functional importance: the anti-codon, which is responsible for specific mRNA codon recognition, and the 3' end, to which the tRNAs corresponding amino acid is attached (by aminoacyl-tRNA synthetases). tRNAs cope with the degeneracy of the genetic code in two manners: having more than one tRNA (with a specific anti-codon) for a particular amino acid; and 'wobble' base-pairing, i.e. permitting non-standard base-pairing at the 3rd anti-codon position. The record is from RNAcentral.